AGGAGAAGUCGUAACAAGGUUUCCGUAGGUGAACCUGCGGAAGGAUCAUUGUAGAGUUCCUUUUCGAACCGUUGUGAAAUUGUGCUAAUACUCGACGAGUACCACGUGUUUGUGCUGUUAGUGCAUGCGUUGUCUUGGCGGGUUCCCUUUUGCUGCCUUCGUGUUGCUUUAUUUGAAGUGUAACGAAGAGCAGAAAUAAGACACCGGCACAGUUUGUGCCAAGGACUGUUAUUGUUGGAGUGCAUUGCCAUUGUUUUGAUGUGCUUUGUGCUAUUCUAGCGAGCGUCUGAAUGACUCCUGGCAAUGGAUAUCUUGGCUCUCGUGUCGAUGAAGAACGUAGCGAAAUGCGACACUUGGUGUGAAUUGCAGAAUCCCGUGAACCAUCGAGUCUUUGAAUGCAAGUUGCGCACGAGGCCAUUAGGUCGAGUGCACGACUGUUUGGGCGUCAUGUAAAGCGUCAUUCCAAUCUCCCACAGGCAUCGAAUCCAGUCUGGGUGAAGGUGGAUAUGGAGAAUGACCUUCCGUGCUUUUACGGUAGGUUUAAGUGAUUGUCGUUGCCAAGGUAUAUGUGAGGCGAAUGGUGUGUCGAGUUAACACACGAUGUCUCUAGUCGCGUCCGUGAGACCUAGGCAUGAUGUGACAAAUAAUCGUAACCAUUGUCGAUGUUUGCUUUGAUAGCAAGCUUGGACCAUGACCUCAGAUCAGACGGGGCGACCCGCUGAG
RNAcentral lists this ribosomal RNA (723 nucleotides) under embryophyte environmental sample. Its description in RNAcentral is "eukaryotic LSU rRNA". The stretch from base 293 to 448 matches the Rfam family "5.8S ribosomal RNA". The record is from RNAcentral. Lineage: Eukaryota; Viridiplantae; Streptophyta.